Rattus rattus (black rat) is the source of this 526-nucleotide long non-coding RNA. RefSeq lists it as uncharacterized. The transcript has 2 exons. The record is from RefSeq and is a predicted model, not a curated record. NCBI's taxonomy places the organism in Eukaryota, Metazoa, Chordata, Mammalia, Rodentia, Muridae.
UUUGGUUUAGUCUUGCAUGCACUGCAGGUUUUGGGGACCACUGUCUGUUCCCAAAGCCACCUUCCUAAUCACUGUUUGAAUGGCGGGGGCACAGCUAAGAGGCUUUACUCUGUAGGCUUUCCCAUCCUACUCUGAAGGAAAAUCUGAGGAGAAUCCAGACGCAGAGGAUCAGAGCAGCCUUGCGUACAGUCACUCACCUAAGCAAAUAAUGCAAAGUGGGGAUCUCUCAUGUCCCCUGGGCACCAUCUUAGGUGGGCUGGGAAAGUACCAUCUGCCAGCAUGACCCGGCUCGCCCGAUCACGAACCCACUCCACCUCAAGUAGCAUUGGCUCUGGAGAAAGUCCCUUCAGCAGGUCUGUGACCAGCAAUCAGUCAGAUGGAACUCAAGAAUCCUGUGAGUCCCCUGAUGUCCUGGACAGACACCAGACCAUGGAAGUGUCUUGCUAAGCAGAUGCUCCUCCCCUGGACCAUGCAAGUCCCUCCUCCUUGAAAUGACCACUCCAUAAUAGAACAUUUCAUUCCGUCA